GUUGUUGUUUUGUUGGAAAUUGUUUUUUUUUGUUUUUUUUUUUCUAUUCUCUCUCGAUGUCAAAAUC
RNAcentral lists this non-coding RNA (67 nucleotides) under Compsopogon caeruleus. Lineage: Eukaryota; Rhodophyta; Compsopogonophyceae; Compsopogonales; Compsopogonaceae. The record is from RNAcentral.